Molecule: ribosomal RNA, 497 nt
Filed under: uncultured bacterium
Lineage: Bacteria
Description: partial 16S ribosomal RNA
Rfam family: Bacterial small subunit ribosomal RNA
Source: RNAcentral
GAUGAACGCUGGCGGCGUGCCUAAUACAUGCAAGUCGAGCGAACAGACGAGGAGCUUGCUCCUCUGACGUUAGCGGCGGACGGGUGAGUAACACGUGGAUAACCUACCUAUAAGACUGGGAUAACUUCGGGAAACCGGAGCUAAUACCGGAUAACAUGUUGAACCGCAUGGUUCAACAGUGAAAGACGGUCUUGCUGUCACUUAUAGAUGGAUCCGCGCCGCAUUAGCUGGUUGGUAAGGUAACGGCUUACCAAGGCAACGAUGCGUAGCCGACCUGAGAGGGUGAUCGGCCACACUGGAACUGAGACACGGUCCAGACUCCUACGGGAGGCAGCAGUAGGGAAUCUUGCGCGAUGGGCGAAAGCCUGACGGAGCAACGCCGCGUGAGUGAAGAAGGUCUUCGGAUCGUAAAACUCUGUUAUUAGGGAAGAACAAAUGUGUAAGUAACUAUGCACGUCUUGACGGUACCUAAUCAGAAAGCCACGGCUAACUACGUG